Molecule: long non-coding RNA, 769 nt
Filed under: Gallus gallus (chicken)
Lineage: Eukaryota; Metazoa; Chordata; Aves; Galliformes; Phasianidae
Description: lncRNA (ENSGALG00010026682.1)
Source: RNAcentral
AGUCACUAACCAGCACCUCAGAAAGAACUGAAAUCUGUAAAGGAGGUCAUGAAGAAAGGAUAUCUGGAGUCAACUUGGCUCACACAUCCUAGUCCAGAAGAGGCACUGAUUCAGCUGGAUGGGACACAGCACUCAUUGCUGGAGGCUCUGAAGUUUCCAAAGAGAUUAAGAUAACUUUGAUGACAUUUCUGGAGGAUGAAGAGCAGCAAUGAUAACUGAGACUAUACGUGUGAGUGCCAUUCAAAAGGGCUUAGGAAAUAUCAGUCACACCCUGAGGGUACAUCUAAUCUGGACUGCACUCCCUGCUCCUAGUCAAUACACAUUUCAUCAUGUCAUCCAAGCUGAUUGCCAAGAAUCCUUCCUACUGAAUCAUAUAUUUCUGAGCUGCCAUCACUCCAAACUGCAUGGCUGCCAUGUUCACAUCUACUGGUGUCAGCACUGCAAAAGGAGAUGAGAAAGAUCCUUAUCCCCAUUUGACAACCCUCUCCUGGACCAGAACAGAAGCACAUGGAUCCUAUCCCUCCUUCUUCCCUCCUUUAGCAAAGUCGGACAUAACUGGAGCAGAAGCUUCAACAGACAUAGCAGCAGACUCCUGUUCAAGUGCUCUGAAGAAAGGGUAAGGAAAGUGAGAGUUCAUGUGGUAAAAUAACAAAACAAAUAUCUGAAUGGCCACAGAGUGCAUGUUGUGAUUUGAGAGGUUUGUGGUUUUAAAUAAAGUAUAAAUGAGCAAUAAGAUUAGAAACUUCAUUUGUUAAAGUUUGCAUUUCCC